Molecule: long non-coding RNA, 602 nt
Organism: Pangasianodon hypophthalmus (striped catfish)
Lineage: Eukaryota; Metazoa; Chordata; Actinopteri; Siluriformes; Pangasiidae
Exons: 2
Source: RefSeq, a predicted model, not a curated record
UGCAAAGUGUGUGUGUAUGUGUGUGUGUGUGUGUGCGCACUGCAGUGUGAUGGAGGUUUUUGUACGAUGGUUUCAUUAGAAUGUAUCACUGUGGUGGACUUUUGGUGGAGGCUCCAAACUCAUUGUGAACACGGGUCCCGUGGUGAAGCCGUCCGUGUCUCUGCUCUCUCCAUCCCCUCUGCAGCUGUCUGAGGGAUCGGCCUCGCUGCUCUGCCUGCUGUCUGGCUACUCUCCACAGGGGGCGCUGGUUAGCUGGACAGUGGACGGCUCAGAGGUGAAGAACGGGGUUCUGACCAGCGCAGAAGAAGAGAAGAACGGCCGUUACAGCCGCAGCAGCACCCUGACCCUCAGCAAAGACCUCUGGGAAAAGGGGGAGGAGUUCAGCUGUAAGGUCUCCCAUAACAACGUCAAUCAUCCAGUCACGUUCAGAAAGAGUCAGUGUGAAGGCUAGUGGAUCCAAGAUAGAGUUUAACAUAGAGCUGCUUCUGAUCCAUCUACAAUAGAGUUUCAAUUCUACACAAUGCUGACAUUUCUGUCUUUACUCUGUUCACUGUCCUGUUGCUCUUCCUGUAGUUUUUGCUGAAAUAAAACUGAAUUUUGGA